CCUACGGGUGGCAGCAGUGAGGAAUAUUGGUCAAUGGGCGCUAGCCUGAACCAGCCAAGUAGCGUGAAGGAUGACUGCCCUAUGGGUUGUAAACUUCUUUUAUACGGGAAUAAAGUGCAUCAUGUAUACUGCUUUGUAUGUACCUUAUGAAUAAGGAUCGGCUAAUUCCGUGCCAGCAGCCGCGGUAAUACGGAGGAUCCGAGCGUUAUCCGGAUUUAUUGGGUUUAAAGGGAGCGUAGGCGGGUUGUUAAGCCAGUCGUGAAAGUCUGCGGCUCAACCGUAAAAUUGCAGUUGGUACUGGCAUCCUUGAGUACACUGGAGGUAGGCGGAAUUCGUGGUGUAGCGGUGAAAUGCUUAGAUAUCACGAAGAACUCCGAUUGCGAAGGCAGCCUGCUGGACUGUUACUGACGCUGAUGCUCGAAGGUGUGGGUAUCGAACAGGAUUAGAUACCCCAGUAGUC
RNAcentral lists this ribosomal RNA (460 nucleotides) under uncultured bacterium. RNAcentral's name for it is "partial 16S ribosomal RNA". It matches the Rfam family "Bacterial small subunit ribosomal RNA", at positions 338 to 795 of the family's 1533-position model. The record is from RNAcentral.